AACGAACGCUGGCGGCAGGCCUAACACAUGCAAGUCGAGCGCGCCCUUCGGGGUGAGCGGCGGACGGGUGAGUAACGCGUGGGAACGUGCCCUUCUCUGCGGAAUAGCCUCGGGAAACUGAGAGUAAUACCGCAUACGCCCUUUGGGGGAAAGAUUUAUCGGAGAAGGAUCGGCCCGCGUUGGAUUAGGUAGUUGGUGGGGUAAUGGCCCACCAAGCCGACGAUCCAUAGCUGGUUUGAGAGGAUGAUCAGCCACACUGGGACUGAGACACGGCCCAGACUCCUACGGGAGGCAGCAGUGGGGAAUCUUAGACAAUGGGGGCAAACCUGAUCUAGCCAUGCCGCGUGAGUGAUGAAGGCCUUAGGGUUGUAAAGCUCUUUCAGCUGGGAAGAUAAUGACGGUACCAGCAGAAGAAGCCCCGGCUAACUCCGUG
This 433-nucleotide ribosomal RNA is filed under the name uncultured bacterium. RNAcentral describes it as "partial 16S ribosomal RNA". It matches the Rfam family "Bacterial small subunit ribosomal RNA", at positions 29 to 507 of the family's 1533-position model. The record is from RNAcentral.